UGCAUCGGCCUGGAAUCGAACCCGGGCGGCCCGCGUGGCAGGCAAGCAUUCUACCACUGAACCACCGAUGG
Molecule: transfer RNA, 71 nt
Filed under: Cordylochernes scorpioides
Lineage: Eukaryota; Metazoa; Arthropoda; Arachnida; Pseudoscorpiones; Chernetidae
Description: tRNA-Gly
Source: RNAcentral